Molecule: ribosomal RNA, 257 nt
Filed under: uncultured bacterium
Lineage: Bacteria
Description: partial 16S ribosomal RNA
Rfam family: Archaeal small subunit ribosomal RNA
Source: RNAcentral
UAAUACCGGCGGCUCGAGUGGUGGCCGCUUUUACUGGGCUUAAAGGGUCCGUAGCUUGAUUCACAAGUCCCUUGAGAAAUCCAUCGGCUUAACUGAUGGGCGUUCAGGGGAUACUGUGGUUCUAGGGACCGGGAGAGGUGAGAGGUACUGCCGGGGUAGGAGUGAAAUCCUGUAAUCCCGGUGGGACGACCUAUGGCGAAGGCAUCUCACCAGAACGGCUCCGACAGUGAGGGACGAAAGCUGGGGGAGCAAACCGG